UCAAAGUUGGCAGAAAGAAAAUUUGGAAAAUCUUCUGAAAGUUGCAAUUGUUGAAAUUGCAAGUCUUGUUUAUGUCACCAAUGACAUCAAGACUCACCAUUUCUGUACUAUAAAAGGAGCUCAUUAGCUCCAUGGAAAUACACCCAAGGCAGAGAGAAAAAUAAUGUAGAGCGGUGAGGUAUUUCAGUCUGUGAUAAAAAAUUAGUUUGUGAAUAGAAAAAUAGAGUGAGCAAUAUUUUUUGUAGGGUGUGGUAGUCACUUUGACUACGGUAUAAAAAUCUUUACUAGGUGUUUAGUAAGGUGUGGUAGUUACUUUGACUACGGUAUAAAAACUCCUUACUAGGUGUUUUUGUAAGUUGGGAGUCAAAAGAGGAUAUUUCUUUUGAGUGUUUAGUAGUUAUUUUGUGUCUUGUACUGUGACUACGGUGUAAAAUCCUUACUAUAGUAAUAUUAGUUACUCCUCUUGGUCCGUGGUUUUUUCCCUUAUUUAGAAGGGUUUCCACAUAAAAAUUUUGGUGUCAUUAUCGCUCUUAUCAUUCUUGUUGUUUAACCGUAUUAUUGUUGUCAUAUUUAUUGAUUUUACCGCAAUAUCGUGGCGGGUUUUAUUUUCAACAACUGGUAUUAUUGUUGGGAAGCAAAACAAUUCUACAUCGGAGAAAUAGAGGAAACAUGUCCUUUAUUUAAAGUCUCGCACAACUCCAUUAGUAUGAAACCUUUUUGUUAGGUGCCCAAGAAUAAAUCCGUGAGGGCUUGGCCCAAAGCGGACAAUAUCAUACUAGUGCGGAGUUUUGAUGAAGUUACACGCGGUUCCAACAAUUGGUAUCAAAGCCAGUUGUUCCGUUGUAGUGGGAAAAUUUACCCGUUUUUCCCAACAAGUGGUAUCAAAGACAGUUAUUCCAUUGUAGUGGAAGAAUUUAUUCGAUUUUCUCAACAAGUGGUAUCAAAAACCAAGUUCAGAUGUGUCGGAGUAGUGGACUGCAUUUUGUGAGAGGUUCCAGGUGUGACAACAAGAUGGUUAGCCAUGAUAACGGCGGUACAGAUCUGUUUGGCAGAUCAUGUAAAGUCUCCUAGUAGUUGGAGAUUGCAGGUAGUGUCUUUUGUCGAAAGUCUUCCUGACAAGUGGUGGUCAGGCGGCAUGUCCCACUAUUUGGCAGUAGCGGUACAAGAUGAUUAGCCUGUGAGAAGUUCUCAUUGUGACAACAAGGUUGCAGAUCUGUUUGGCAGAUCGGUGGUAUAAGAUAUUUGGUAGAUAUGUUUGACAGAUCGAUGGUACAAGAUAUUUGACAGAUCUAUUUGGCAGAUCAGCGGUACAUGAUAUUUGACAGAUCUGUUUGGAAGAUUGGCAGUACAAGAAUGUUUGGCAGAUCUGUUUGGCAGAUCGGCGGUACAAUAUGUUUGGCAGAUCUGUUUGGCAGAUCAGCGGUAUAAUAAUGUUUGGUAGAUCUGUUGGAAGAUCGACGAUACAAGAUGUUUGGCAGAUUAGCGGUACAAGAAUGUUUAGCAGAUCUGUUUGGCAGAUCGGUAGUACAAGAAUGUUUGACAGAUUUGUUUGGUAGAUCGACGGUACAAGAAUGUUUGGCAGAUCUAUUUAGCAAAUCAGUGGUACAAGAUGUUUUUCAGAUCUGUUUGGCAGAUUAUAUGAAGUAACCUAUGAUGUCUUAUGUUGAAAGUAUUCUUGACAAAUGGUGGUAACGGUGGUACGAGAUGGUUAGCGAGAUCAAAUGAAUUAUCGCUGAAAAGGAGGUCACAUGUGGUGUUGUCUUAUUUUGAGGGAGAGAAUGUUGCUCUAUUAUUCUUCAUGCAGUUGGUGUUGUCAGCAAGUUUUUCCUGAAAAUUCAGGAAAGGAGCAUUGGAAAGCAGUCAAAUGAUAUUGAGGUACCUAAGAAAAACCUCGGAAGACUGUUUAUAUUUUGGAGGAUAUGAUCCAAUCUGGAAGGGCCAUACAGAUACUGAUAUAGCGGGUGACCUUGAUAUUAGAAAAUCUACUAUUGGAUUGUUAUUUAAAUUUUUUAGGAGAAGCUAUAUCAUGGCAGUCGAAGUUGCAGAAGUGUGUCGCACUAUCUACAACUGAAGCUAAGUAUAUUGCGGAUACUGAAGCUAAGCAAGGAAUUGAUAUGACUCAAGCGGUUCCUUCAAGAACGAAUGAAAAAUUCUGGAGAUUAUGCUGACAAAGGUGGUGCCAAAAGUCAAGUUUUAAUUGUGCAAAAAACUUUUGGGCAUGAGUUCUCCCUGCGAAGAAUGAAGAUACCUCCUUCAGAUGUAUGGAUCUGGAGGGGAAGAUUUGUUGGGGUCCAGCCCCAUGAAAAUUUUUUCUUGGUAAAACUUUGCUGCAUGCAGCUUUCAAAGUUGGUAGAAAGUAAAUUUAGAAAAUCUUCUCAAAGCUGCAAUUGUUGAAAUUGCAAGUCUUGUUUAUGGCAUCAAUGACAUCAAGACUCACCAUUUCUGUACUAUAAAAGGAGCUCAUUAGCUCCAUGAAAAUACACCCAAGACAGAGAGAAAAAUAAUGGAGAGCGGUGAGGUAUUUCAGUUUGUGAUAAAAAAUUAGUCUGUGAAAAAAAAAAAAUAGAGUGAGUAAUAUUUUUAGUAAGGUGUGGUAGUCACUUUAACUACGGUAUAAAAAAUCCUUACUUGGUGUUUUAGUAAGGUGUGGUAGUCACUUUGACUACGGUAUAAAAAUUCCUUACUAGGUGUUUUUGUAAGUUGAGAGUCAAAAGAGGAUAUUUCUUUUGAGUGUUUAGUAGUUAUUUUGUGUCUUGUACUGUGAGUACGGUGUAAAAUCCUUACUAUAGUAAUAUUAGUUGCUCCUCUUGGUCCGUGGUUUUUUUCCUUAUUUAGAAGGGUUUCCACGUAAAAAUCUUUGUGUCAUUAUCGCUCCGUAUUAUUGUUGUCAUAUUUAUUGCUUUUACCACAAUAUCGUGGCGGGUUUUAUUUUCAACAACUGGUAUUAUUUUUGGGAAGCAAAGCAAUUCUACACCCGAGAAAUAGAGGAAACAUGUCCUUUAUUUAAAGUCUCACACAACUCCAUUAGUAUGAGGCCUUUUUGUUAGGUGCCCAAGAAUAAAUCCGUGAGGACUUGGUCCAAAGCGGACAAUAUCAUACUAAUGUGGAGUUUCGAUGAAGUUACACGCGAUUCCAACAAUUGGUAUCAAAGCCAGUUGUUUCGUUGUAGUGGGAAAAUUUAUCCGUUUUUCCUAACAAGUGGUAUCAAAGCCAGUUAUUCCGUUGUAGUGAAAAAAUUUAUCCGAUUUUCCCAAUAGGAUGAAAUGGAGGCUUGCCUUCAGUGGCAGAUCUAGAAUUUUUGUUCGGGGGGGUCGAUAUAUAAAGAAGUAAGCGUAUAAAAAUUACAUUAUAAAAGCAAAGUAGAUACUCGCUAAACUUUAACCUGCCUUAUCAUUCUCUUUUAACAUUUCUUCUUAGUUUUGUUUUGCGAGCCCUUCUUAUAAAAUAUUAUGCUUUUUUCUUACUUUAACUUUUCACUUUUAUUUUAUUUUUAAAUUUUAUUUUUCAAAUUUAACUCCCCUAUAAAAAAAAUAAGGUUCUUAAAAAUGUAUAAGCAUUGAAUUAUUAUAUUAUAAUAUAUAUUUAGUACUUCAUAAAAAAUAAAAAUUAUUGAACAACUUCAAUAUUGAUAUGUUGAAUGUAAAAUAUAAUUCAAAAAAACGAACUAUAUAAUUCGAUAAAAUAAUCUGAAAGAGUUGAGAAAUCCAAUUUUUUUAUAUACUAUGUAAAACUAGUCAAAUAUAUAAAACUAUUUUGAACAAACGUGGCAUAAAACGUAUAAAAAGAGAUAUGCAUAAUAUGUUAGUAUUGAGAGCAUUAAAAAAGAUUAUAUUGAAAUAUUUUUCAUUCCAACUAUGUAAAAUUUUUGGACAAAUUAUUUUAGACCCAAUAUUUAUACUUGAAAAAUAGAAAAUAAGUGAGUUUUAAAUAAAUAAUACAUACACACAAAUAAAUUAAAUGGGCUAACUAAUUUGUGUUAAUCAGGCCCAAUUGCCAAUUAGAGUGAAAAAGGUCAAAGCCUUGUUCAUUAAAUAGAAAAAGG
This 4042-nucleotide long non-coding RNA is filed under the name Capsicum annuum. RNAcentral describes it as "long non-coding RNA (CANN_LNC020022)". The record is from RNAcentral. Lineage: Eukaryota; Viridiplantae; Streptophyta; Magnoliopsida; Solanales; Solanaceae.